Molecule: ribosomal RNA, 658 nt
Filed under: Herpotrichiellaceae sp. JCM 28561
Lineage: Eukaryota; Fungi; Ascomycota; Eurotiomycetes; Chaetothyriales; Herpotrichiellaceae
Description: eukaryotic LSU rRNA
Rfam family: 5.8S ribosomal RNA (bases 243-397)
Source: RNAcentral
GGAAGUAAAAGUCGUAACAAGGUUUCCGUAGGUGAACCUGCGGAAGGAUCAUUAACGAGUUAGGGUCUUCUAGGCCCGACCUCCCAACCCUGUGUUUAAUUGACCCAACGUUGCUUCGGCGAGCCCGUCCCUUAGGGACCGCCGGAGGGCCAUAACCCGUCCUCUGGUCCGCGCUCGUCGGUGGCCAACCACAAACUCUUUGUUAAACGUACCAUCUAAGUCAAAAAUUUUAAUUAAAGCAAAACUUUCAACAACGGAUCUCUUGGUUCUGGCAUCGAUGAAGAACGCAGCGAAAUGCGAUAAGUAAUGCGAAUUGCAGAAUUCCAGUGAGUCAUCGAAUCUUUGAACGCACAUUGCGCCCUUUGGCAUUCCGAAGGGCAUGCCUGUUCGAGCGUCAUUAUCACCCCUCAAGCCCCCCUUCUUGAUUGAAGCCCGGCUUGGUGUUGGACGGCUUGGUGUCAGUAAUGUCACCCCUCCUAAAGACAAUGACGGCGGCUUCGUGAGACCCCCGGUACACUGAGUUCCUCACCGAACACGUACUGGAUCAUGGGUAGACGGAGCCCCGGUCGACCUCCCUUCACGGGGAGACUUCUUCUCAGGUUGACCUCGGAUCAGGUAGGAAUACCCGCUGAACUUAAGCAUAUCAAUAAGCGGAGGA